UACAGGGGGUGCAAACGUUGCUCGGAAUUAUUGGGCGUAAAGCGCGCGUAGGCGGCCACUUAAGUCGGAUGUGAAAGCCCUUGGCUCAACUGAGGAAGUGCACCCGAAACUGCAGAGCUUGAGUGCCGGAGAGGGUGGCGGAAUUCCUGGUGUAGAGGUGAAAUUCGUAGAUAUCAGGAGGAACACCAGUGGCGAAGGCGGCUUUCUGGACGAUAACUGACGCUGAGACGCGAAAGCGUGGGGAGCAAACAGG
Molecule: ribosomal RNA, 253 nt
Filed under: uncultured bacterium
Lineage: Bacteria
Description: partial 16S ribosomal RNA
Rfam family: Bacterial small subunit ribosomal RNA
Source: RNAcentral